CAAAGUUGUGAAUAAAACAAUAAUUAGUAUAUAUUAUUUCAAAGUUUCAUGUUUAAUUCAAUGUGAUUCUUGCUGGUUUUUUUAUAAUUGUUUGUGAAAUUUACUUGCAAUUUCUGAGUGAAAAUUUUUCCAAUAUAGGAACACAUUCAGUUCACAACAAAUGUAACUUUUGAAAUGCCAGUCCUAAACAGGCCAAAAAAAGUGUACUAUAAACACUAAAACAACUGGAAAUUUAGGGUGAGGUGAUAAUACACAUAAUAAAAGAAAGGAAAAAAAGAAAAUCUGUUUUGUUCACUCUUUAUACACACAUCCAAAUUAAUUGAAAAUGUAAAAAUUUUAACACAGAACUGCCGUCUCAUUCCCUGUGCAGUUGAGCCUUUCAUUUCUUAAACAGCACUGCUGCUUGUUUACUUUCAUCUCCUUAGGGGUUAAAUCUCUAAAAACACAUACCAACACAUAUGGUUGUCUGCUCUCUUGAGGCAGAGGGACGACUUGUUUCUUUAAAUCAGGCCUAUAAAUCCUUCUGGUCACUUCCUUCAAUAGGAGUGAAGCUGGGAUGAAGACUGAGUUGCUCUUCAGGGUCAGUGGAGCCAUUCAAGUUAAAAUGGACCUCAACAGCAGGCUGCUCCUCGCAGCUGCCCUGUGACCGUGGAAAUUAAGUUAUGCCCCGUGUCAGCAAGUUUUCUUCUUCUUUCGGAAACCCUUUCUACCUCAAUCGAUCCUCUCAGUGCUCAUUUUUUAAAGUUUCUCCUAUUCGUAUUUAUGAGAGACUCUGAAGUGGAGUCUUAGCUGGAGUAUUUAGUGUUGAUAACAGACAUAAUGGACAACAAUGGGACAGAAUGAGGUAUUGUGUGGUUGUAAGUGAGAAGGCCCAGCAUUCUUGGUCAAUGUUAAGUCAAUGGCCUCUUGUUGAAAAACACACACACACACACACACGCACUGCUUCUUUACCAACAGGUCUGCAGGGCUCAAAUGGAAAACCUCCUCUUUUCCUCGGUUUCCUCCACCCUCUUCAUUCGCUCAGCCUCUGUGUCCUUCCUCCUUCGACAUGCGCUUGUGUUUUGCUUGUCUGUGGGAUAGUUUAUUUGUCCUGUGGUUGGAUGAAGAAGCUGGAUGAUGACUCCUGCUUCUGCGGGUGUAAGCGUGUGUCUGCAACAGCUGCUUGCUGCCAACAAUUCAGAGCGUUACGAAGCGUUAGGACAUGUUUAGGGGCUUCUCCUCCUGCGUCUGCAUGCUUCCCUCCCCUGCGCUGCCUGUCAGAGGGAUUUUAUGGCUGUUGAUACAAAAAAUGGGCUCUGGGCUGCUCUAGUAAAAAACACCUUUCCUUCCAUCACCUCAUUAUCCUCCUGAGUGAAAACAAGCGGCCAAACGUCUCCAUUUGUCAUUAUUCCCUCAAGAGUGAUCAAAGUUCUGCUUUUCCAUUAGCACCAACUGUUACAGCACACAUGAAUUACUUCAUUACUAAUUUACCUGUAUAGUUGUUCAAUAAAUUUCAUGGUAAGAAUAAAGAGUAGUAAAAUAUUAAAACAAUUUGCUCAGCUGUAACAUAUGGACACUGAACUUUUGUCAGUUUAACAGCUAAUACAAAUGUUAUGUGAAUUAACAGAAAUGACUUGCAUGCUUUUAUUGCAGUGCCUAUGUACAGUCAAUUUAAAUAAACACAAUGCUAUCAUGCUUCAUAAUAGCAUUAUUCAUCCAUUAGCUUUAAAGUAGCUAAUAGUUCAAUCAAAAAUUUAGUCAAAAUGUAACCUCGAGUAGUUCCAAACCUAUAAGAAUUUCUUGGUUCUGUUGAACACAAAAGAAGAUAUUUUGAAGAAUGUCGGUGGUUGCUGGUAGCCAUUUUAUUUUUCCUCGAUACUAUGGAAGUCAAUGGCUACCAGCAAAAGUUUGGUUACCAAUAAUCUUCAAAAUAUCUUCUUAGAAGAAAGAAAUUCAAUCAGGUUUGGAACAACAUUAGGAUGAGUAAAUGUUGUCAUUUUUGAGUGAACUCUCUCUUUAAAACUUCAACGCUACAUACAUACCAGCGACCAGCCAAGGCAGAGAUUCACAUUUUUUUUCAGCCUUAGACACUCUUAGUAUUUCCUGGACCCCCUGAUAUUUCAAGUUAUAUAAAAUAAUUAAUAAUUUAACAACACAUUAACAUGUUUAAGGUUCUCCUUUGUCAAAUAAUAGUAAAAAAAUGUUUUUAUUAUUUUAAUACAAUUUAUUGCAAUUUUCAAUUUUAUGAUUUAAUUACCAACUUCUCAUUAAUUGUUGUUAG
Long non-coding RNA from Cyprinus carpio carpio, 2260 nucleotides. The record is from Ensembl. Lineage: Eukaryota; Metazoa; Chordata; Actinopteri; Cypriniformes; Cyprinidae.